UUGUUAAUGUGGCCAAAAGAUAGUUGUAAGCCUAUGUAAACACAGAACAGCAA
This 53-nucleotide non-coding RNA is filed under the name unclassified sequences. The record is from RNAcentral.